This 148-nucleotide small RNA is filed under the name Solirubrobacterales bacterium. Its description in RNAcentral is "c-di-AMP sequence". It matches the Rfam family "c-di-AMP riboswitch aptamer (ydaO/yuaA leader)". Rfam says of the family: This family represents a conserved RNA structure found upstream of the ydaO and yuaA genes in Bacillus subtilis and related genes in other bacteria. The ydaO/yuaA element is thought to act as a genetic "off" switch for the ydaO and yuaA genes in its native state. Lineage: Bacteria; Bacillati; Actinomycetota; Thermoleophilia; Solirubrobacterales. The record is from RNAcentral.
CGCCAACUUCCGCUGAAUCUUCGCCUACAUAUCGCGAAGAGCGGGGGACCCAAUUAGUUGGGGCGAGUCGCCGGCGUCGGCCGGUGUAGCGCAGCUCUUUCAGCGCGAGCCCGUCAGCUAACCCCGCAAGCGCCUCGAAAGAGCAUGA